RNAcentral lists this ribosomal RNA (474 nucleotides) under uncultured bacterium. RNAcentral describes it as "bacterial SSU rRNA". It matches the Rfam family "Bacterial small subunit ribosomal RNA", at positions 33 to 507 of the family's 1533-position model. The record is from RNAcentral.
ACGCUGGCGGCGUGCUUAAUACAUGCAAGUCAACUUGACUUUAGAUAGCAAUAUCGAAAGUAGGGUGGCGCACGGGUGCGUAACGCGUAGGUAAUCUGCCCUGAGGUCUGACAUAACCCGUCGAAAGGCGGGCUAACAUCAGAUGAUAUAUAGUCACGACAUCGUGGAAAUAUCAAAUCUUCGGAGCCUUGGGAUGAGCCUGCGUCUGAUUAGGUAGUUGGCGGAGUAAUAGCCCACCAAGCCUACGAUCAGUAGCUGGUCUGAGAGGAUGAUCAGCCACACUGGAACUGAGACACGGUCCAGACUCCUACGGGAGGCAGCAGUAAGGAAUAUUGCUCAAUGGGGGGAAACCCUGAAGCAGCAACGCCGCGUGAAGGAUGAAAUACUUUGUAUGUAAACUUCUGUAAGAUGGGAAAAAUAUUCUCCUCGGGAGAAUUGAUUGUACCAUCAGAGUAAGCCCCGGCUAACUACGUG